Molecule: small nucleolar RNA, 110 nt
Organism: Ailuropoda melanoleuca (giant panda)
Lineage: Eukaryota; Metazoa; Chordata; Mammalia; Carnivora; Ursidae
Source: Ensembl
CCUCGAUGAUGAGUUGCCAUGCUAAUACUGAGUCACCAGGUAGGGCAGUGUUGCCCUAGUUUGGGUGCCAGUGAGUUUAACAAAACUUCUCACAUGGAGACCUGAGAGGC